Molecule: unclassified non-coding RNA, 330 nt
Filed under: uncultured fungus
Lineage: Eukaryota; Fungi
Description: partial contains small subunit ribosomal RNA, internal transcribed spacer 1, and 5.8S ribosomal RNA
Rfam family: Eukaryotic small subunit ribosomal RNA (bases 1-73)
Source: RNAcentral
ACAAACUUGGUCAUUUAGAGGAAGUAAAAGUCGUAACAAGGUCUCCGUUGGUGAACCAGCGGAGGGAUCAUUACCGAGUUUACAACUCCCAAACCCCAAUGUGAACGUUACCAAUCUGUUGCCUCGGCGGGUUAAUUCUUUCUGCCCCGGGCGCGUCGCAGCCCCGGACCAAGGCGCCCGCCGGAGGACCAAAUUGCAAACUCUUUUUGUAUAUCCCAUCGCGGAUGAUUAUAUUCUGAGCUUUCUCGGCGCUCCUAGCGAGCGUUUCGAAAAUGAAUCAAAACUUUCAACAACGGAUCUCUUGGUUCUGGCAUCGAUGAAGAACGCAGC